UUAAAAAGCUCGUAGUUGGAUUUCUGCGGGAGACGAAGGGUCUACCUUACGGGUAAGUAUCUCUCAGGCUCCUGCAUCCUCAACAGGAACGUCGCUGCGGUUCAUUUCGUGGUACGGUACUGUUGACUUUUACUUUGAGGAAAUUAGAGUGUUCACGGCAAGCAAACGCGUGUAUACAUUAGCAUGGAAUAAUAAUAUAGGACCUUGGAUCUAUUUUGUUGGUUUCUAGAACUAAGGUAAUGAUAAAUAGGGACAGUUUGGGGGCAUUUGUACUAACGCGUCAGAGGUGGAAUUCUUGGAUUGCGUUAUGACAAACUACUGCGAAAGCAUUUGCCAAGGAUGUUUUCAUUGAUCAAGAACGAAAGUAUGGGGAUCGAAGACGAUUAGAUACCGUCGUAGUCUAUACCAUAAACUAUGCCAACUAGGAAUGAGACGGAUGUAUAUUUAUGACCCGUUUCGCGCCUUAUGANAAAUC
RNAcentral lists this ribosomal RNA (475 nucleotides) under uncultured eukaryote. Its description in RNAcentral is "bacterial SSU rRNA". It matches the Rfam family "Eukaryotic small subunit ribosomal RNA", at positions 619 to 1099 of the family's 1831-position model. The record is from RNAcentral.